GUAUUAUUUUAAAAAAUUAAUUAUUAAAAAUAAUUAUAAAAAAAAAUGUUUUAGUAUAUUUUAUAGAAAAAAUAAUAUUAAUUAUAGUUUAUUAGUAUUGUAAAAAAAAAUUGAAAUAUUAUGAAAAAUUAUUAUUAAAAAAGAAAAUUUAAUUUAUUGUAUCUUGUGUAUCAGAGUGUAUUAAAUAUGAAAUAAUUAAAAUUAUUAAUCUCGAUUUUAAAAGAUUUAAUAAAUUAUAAAAGUUAAUGUAAUAAAAUUAUUUUUAAUAAUUUAUUAGAAAUGAAAUGUUAUUCGUUUUUAAAGGUAUCUAGUUUUUUAAGAAAUAAAUUUAAUUUAGUUUUUUAAAAUUUAUUUAAUUAAUUAUUUAAUUAAAUAAUUUUUAAAAAAUAGUAUUUUAUGGGAUAAGCUAUAAAAUAAAUUGUUAUAAAUAAUAAAUAAAAUUUUAAAUAUAAUAUGUUUAGAAGUAUCAAUUUUUAUUAAGUUUGUUAUAAAUUAAUUUUUAUAUAACAUUAUUUAUUAUAUUUUAAUUUUUUAUAAAAAUAUUUAUUUUAAUUUUAAAAAUAAAUUAAUAAUGAUAUAAUUAGUAUAUAAAAAUUUAUAAAAAUUUAUUUUUUUUUGAAAAGUUUAAAUAAAGAAUUCGGCAAAAAUAAUGUUCGCCUGUUUAACAAAAACAUGUCUUUUAGAAAUUAAUUUAAAGUCUAACCUGCCCACUGAUUUUUAUUAAAUGGCCGCAGUAUUUUAACUGUGCAAAGGUAGCAUAAUCAUUAGUCUUUUAAUUGAAGGCUGGAAUGAAUGGUUGGACGAAAUAUUAACUGUUUCAUUUGAAUUUAUAAUAGAAUUUUAUUUUUUAGUCAAAAAGCUAAAAUUUAUUUAAAAGACGAGAAGACCCUAUAAAUCUUUAUAUUUAUUUUAUUUUAAUUUUAAAGAUUAAGUUAGUUAUUAUAAUAAUUAAAUAUUUUAUUGGGGUGAUAGUAAAAUUUAAUUAACUUUUAAAUUUAAAGUCAUAGAUUUAUGAAUAAUUGAUCCAUUUUUAAUGAUUAAAAAAUUAAGUUACUUUAGGGAUAACAGCGUAAUUUUUUUGGAGAGUUCAUAUUGAUAAAAAAGAUUGCGACCUCGAUGUUGGAUUAAGAUAUAAUUUUAGGUGUAGCCGUUUAAAUUUUAAGUCUGUUCGACUUUUAAAAUCUUACAUGAUCUGAGUUCAAACCGGUGUAAGCCAGGUUGGUUUCUAUCUUUAAUUAAGUUUUAUAUUUUAGUACGAAAGGAUUAAAUAUAAAAAUAAAUAUAUUUUAUAGAUAUGAAUAUAAUUAAUUUAUAAUAA
This 1318-nucleotide ribosomal RNA is filed under the name Ferdinandea cuprea. Its description in RNAcentral is "16S ribosomal RNA". Lineage: Eukaryota; Metazoa; Arthropoda; Insecta; Diptera; Syrphidae. The record is from RNAcentral.